UUUUUUGAGAGUUUGAUCCUGGCUCAGGACAAACGCUGGCGGUAUGCCUAACACAUGCAAGUCGAACGGCUGUGCGUAGCACAGAAAUCCGAAAUUCGAAAUCCUAAAUCCUAAACAAAUUCAAAAUUCAAAAUCUUAAAUAAUAAACAAAUAUUGUUUUGGGCAUUAUUAUUUUUGAGAAUUAGAUAUUGUUUCGAAUUUAGUGCUUAGAAUUUAGAGUUUCCGUGCUAUGCACGGUAGUGGCAAACGGGUGAGUAACACGUAGAAACAUACCCUUAUCUCGGACAUAGCCCACCGAAAGGUGGAUUAAUUUCCGAUAGUCUCCGAUGUAAUAUUCGGAUUAAAGAAUUUCGGAUAAGGAAUGGUCUGCGUCCUAUCAGCUAGUUGGUGAGGUAAUGGCUCACCAAGGCGACGACGGGUAGCUGGUCUGAGAGGAUGAUCAGCCACAAUGGAACUGCGACACGGUCCAUACUCCUACGGGAGGCAGCAGUGGGGAAUUUUGCGCAAUGGGCGAAAGCCUGACGCAGCAAUACCGCAUGAAGGAUCGAAGGUCUUCGGAUCGUAAACUUCUUUUAUAAGUGAAGAUUAUGACAGUAACUUAUGAAUAAGGACCUGCUAACUUCGUGCCAGCAGCAGCGGUAAUACGAAGGGUCCAAGCGUUGUCCGGAUUUAUUGGGCGUAAAGCGUCCGCAGGUGGUUUGGUAAGUUUUAUGAUAAAGACCUUUGCUCAACAAAGGUAACUUGUAAAAUACUGCCUUACUUGAGGAAAGCAGGGGCAAAUGGAACUCCCGGUGUAGCAGUGAAAUGCGUUGAUAUCGGGAGGAACACCAAAGGCGAAGGCAAUUUGCUAGGCUUUUCCUGACACUCAUGGACGAAAGCGUGGGGAGCGAACGGGAUUAGAUACCCCGGUAGUCCACGCCGUAAACAAUGCACACUAGCUCUCGGUCGCAUCGACCCGACCUGGAGCGAAGUUAACACGUUAAGUGUGCCGCCUGGGGAGUACGACCGCAAGGUUAAAACUCAAAGGAAUAGACGGGGGCUCGCACAAGCGGUGGAACAUGAGGUUUAAUUCGACAGUAAGCGAGUAACCUUACCAGGGAUUGACAUCUUUGGAACCCCGACGAAAGUUGGGGGUGCCCGCAAGGGAACUGAAUGACAGGUGAUGCACGGUUGUCGUCAGCUCGUGCCGUGAGGUGUUAGCUUAAGUGCUUGAACGAGCGCAACCCCUAUUGUGUGUUAAAUUUGUCACACAAGACUGCCUGCGUAAGUGGGAGGAAGGUGGGGAUGACGUCAAAUCAGCGUGUCCCUUACACCCUGGGCGACACUCAUGUUACAAUGGCAACUACAAUGGGUCGCAAAAUCGUGAGAUUGAGCCAAUCCCCAAAAGUUGUCUUAGUUCGGAUUGCAGGCUGAAACUCGCCUGCAUGAAGCUGGAAUCGCUAGUAACCCCGAAUCAGCCACGUCGGGGUGAAUACGUUCUCGAGCCUUGUACUCACCGCCCGUCAAGUGAGCCGAGUCGGUAAGACCUGAAACCCCCGCUUAGCGGGGACUAUGGUCGGAUCGGUAAGGAGCGCUAAGUCGUAACAAGGUAUCCGUAGGGGAAUCUGCGGAUGGAUCACCUCCUUU
Molecule: non-coding RNA, 1626 nt
Organism: Berkelbacteria bacterium GW2011_GWA2_35_9
Lineage: Bacteria; Candidatus Berkelbacteria
Source: Rfam